RNAcentral lists this ribosomal RNA (477 nucleotides) under uncultured bacterium. RNAcentral describes it as "bacterial SSU rRNA". It matches the Rfam family "Bacterial small subunit ribosomal RNA", at positions 60 to 504 of the family's 1533-position model. The record is from RNAcentral.
AGUCGAGCGAGCGGAACCAACAGAUUUACUUCGGUAAUGACGUUGGGAAAGCGAGCGGCGGAUGGGUGAGUAACACGUGGGGAACCUGCCCCUAAGUCUGGGAUACCAUUUGGAAACAGGUGCUAAUACCGGAUAAUAAAGCAGAUCGCAUGAUCAGCUUUUGAAAGGCGGCGUAAGCUGUCGCUAAGGGAUGGCCCCGCGGUGCAUUAGCUAGUUGGUAAGGUAACGGCUUACCAAGGCGACGAUGCAUAGCCGAGUUGAGAGACUGAUCGGCCACAUUGGGACUGAGACACGGCCCAAACUCCUACGGGAGGCAGCAGUAGGGAAUCUUCCACAAUGGACGCAAGUCUGAUGGAGCAACGCCGCGUGANNGAAGAAGGCUUUCGGAUCGUAAAGCUCUGUUGUUGGUGAAGAAGGAUAGAGGUAGUAACUGGCCUUUAUUUGACGGUAAUCAACCAGAAAGUCACGGCUAACUAC